UACGUAGGUGACCAGCGUUGUCCGGAUUUACUGGGCGUAAAGGGCGCGUAGGCGGCGCGGUAAGUCACUUGUGAAAUCUCUGAGCUUAACUCAGAACGGCCAAGUGAUACUGCAGUGCUAGAGUGCAGAAGGGGCAAUCGGAAUUCCUGGUGUAGCGGUGAAAUGCGCAGAUAUCAGGAGGAACACCGGUGGCGAAGGCGGGACUCUGGGCCGAUACUGACGCUGAGGAGCGAAAGCGUGGGGAGCGAACAGG
This 253-nucleotide ribosomal RNA is filed under the name uncultured bacterium. RNAcentral's name for it is "partial 16S ribosomal RNA". It matches the Rfam family "Bacterial small subunit ribosomal RNA", at positions 524 to 776 of the family's 1533-position model. The record is from RNAcentral.